AACGCGAAGAACCUUACCUACCCUUGACAUCCAGAGAAUCCUGCAGAGAUGCGGGAGUGCCGAAAGGAAUUCUGAGACAGGUGCUGCAUGGCUGUCGUCAGCUCGUGUUGUGAGAUGUUGGGUUAAGUCCCGCAACGAGCGCAACCCUCAUCUUCAGUUGCCCCCGGGUAAGGCCGGGCACUCUGAAGAAACCGCCGGUGACAAGCCGGAGGAAGGCGGGGAUGACGUCAAGUCCUCAUGGCCCUUACGGACUGGGCUACACACGUACUACAAUGGUGGUGACAGUGGGCAGCGAAGGCGCGAGCCGGAGCCAAUCCCCAAAAGCCAUCUCAGUUCAGAUUGCACUCUGCAACUCGAGUGCAUGAAGCUGGAAUCGCUAGUAAUCGCAGAUCAGCACGCUGCGGUGAAUACGUUCCCGGGCCUUGUACACACCGAGUAUA
This 440-nucleotide ribosomal RNA is filed under the name uncultured bacterium. Its description in RNAcentral is "bacterial SSU rRNA". It matches the Rfam family "Bacterial small subunit ribosomal RNA", at positions 958 to 1398 of the family's 1533-position model. The record is from RNAcentral.